UACAGAGGGUGCAAGCGUUAAUCGGAAUUACUGGGCGUAAAGCGCACGUAGGCGGAUAAUUAAGUCGGAUGUGAAAUCCCUGGGCUUAACCUAGGAACUGCAUUCGAUACUGAUUUGUCUUGAGUAUGGUAGAGGAUAGUGGAAUUUCCGGUGUAGCGGUGAAAUGCGUAGAUAUCGGAAAGAACACCAGUGGCGAAGGCGGCUAUCUGGACCAAUACUGACGCUCAGGUGCGAAAGCGUGGGGAGCAAACAGG
RNAcentral lists this ribosomal RNA (254 nucleotides) under uncultured bacterium. RNAcentral describes it as "partial 16S ribosomal RNA". It matches the Rfam family "Bacterial small subunit ribosomal RNA", at positions 524 to 776 of the family's 1533-position model. The record is from RNAcentral.